UACAGAGGGUGCAAACGUUGCUCGGAAUCAUUGGGCGUAAAGCGCACGUAGGCGGCCCAGCAAGCGGGGAGUGAAGGCCCUCGGCUUAACCGAGGAAGUGCUUUCCGAACUACUGGGCUUGAAUACUGGAGAGGGUCGCGGAAUUCCCGGUGUAGAGGUGAAAUUCGUAGAUAUCGGGAGGAACACCAGUGGCGAAGGCGGCGACCUGGACAGAUAUUGACGCUGAGGUGCGAAAGCGUGGGGAGCAAACAGG
Molecule: ribosomal RNA, 253 nt
Filed under: uncultured bacterium
Lineage: Bacteria
Description: partial 16S ribosomal RNA
Rfam family: Bacterial small subunit ribosomal RNA
Source: RNAcentral